GCCGGGUGUGGUGGCUCACUCCUGUAAUCCCAGUACUUUGGGAGGCCGAGGCAGGUGGAUCACCUGAGGUCAGGAGUUCGAGACCAGCCUGACCAACAUGGUGAAACCCCGUCUCUA
Molecule: non-coding RNA, 117 nt
Filed under: Chlorocebus sabaeus (green monkey)
Lineage: Eukaryota; Metazoa; Chordata; Mammalia; Primates; Cercopithecidae
Source: Rfam by way of RNAcentral